Molecule: long non-coding RNA, 2930 nt
Organism: Lolium rigidum
Lineage: Eukaryota; Viridiplantae; Streptophyta; Magnoliopsida; Poales; Poaceae
Exons: 7
Source: RefSeq, a predicted model, not a curated record
CCUCCGUUUCUCCUCCUCGUCGUUCUCCUCGCGAGAGGCGGCGGCCGCGUCUGCGCCUCGCUCCUCCGCAAUUUCCGCUCGAGUUCUCCUACUCAGCCCCCGUCCCUUCUCCUCCCUUCCCCUUCCCUCAUCCUCGCCUCCUCCACCGGCAACCCCCGCCGCCGGGCAGCCACCUCGCCACUCGAGCAGCAGCACACCAUGGCAUGGAGCGGCUAGGAGGAGCUUAUGCGUGGCGGCAAGAGGAGGGCAGGGCGUCGGAUCGAGAUCGUCCUCUGCGGAGCUGUGUUCCGCAGGGCAAGAGGAGGCGCCACCACUCCCCACACCUUCUCCUCCGGCGGCACGGCAGCGACGUCAUCUUCAUUGUCCCUCCAUCUCCUUCCCCACCCUUCUCCGCUGGUAGCAGGAAGAUGUUGCGGAGCUCUCCUUCGUGGUGAUGGUGCUGUACUGCUUGCCGGUGAGAACUAGGAGGAGGAAUAGGAAACAAAGAGAGGGAGAUGGAGCGGCAAGACUACAAGAUCCUAGAUGCAGGCCGAGAUAAGAGAGAAGGGGCAGUUUGGGUAGGCAGGAGGAUCGAGCGUAGGAUGUGGAGCGGCAGUAGUAGGAAGAGUUGGUCCUGAACCCCAUCCCUAGCCCCUCUACAUCUACCAACGGCCGGACGGCUUGGCCUCCUGCGGCCCUAUCUCUCCACCUCUGCACCCCUCUUUUUUUUUGAUAUGCCUCCUCCCUUCUCACCUCCACUUCUUAUAGUACGUUAGGUGUUUGUGCAGAUUUUUUUUGUAUCUAUGCAUGUUAGGUGUUUGAGGAAAAUCCAAGCAAGCUGUAGGAAAAUCAAAGCGAGCUGGAGGUUCAUGAAAAUCCAAGAAAGCUAUAUACAAUGCAUUAUGCACUUUGGGAAUGCCCCAGGCUGCUGUCUUUAUCGGCUCACGAUCUCCGCCGCCACUGCCGUCGGGUCUUUGCCGCCACUGCCAGGUUGUGAGGUUGUGAGGCUACGAUGCUGCUCUACAUGAUUGUUGUGUCUGUCAAGUGCGUUAUGUCGCCAUUGCUGCUGCCGCUAGCCAGAUGCCCUCCUCAAUUUGGUUAGGUCCCCUUCGCUUUGCAUCAUCUUGUUUGAUCGCAUUUUUUGUUGGUUAGUGCUCGUGGAUGGAUCUGCUAUGGAUCAGGUUCUCCAACCUUUUUCAUCCGCUACCAGGUUGGAUUGGGGUUCAGAAGUUGUAGGGAUAGAAGACCUUCAGUUUUCUUUAUUGUAGUCUCCUAGAUUUACAGGCUGCAAGUGGAGAAGUUUACCCCUAUAGUCAUGAGGUUGCAACUCUCAUGAAAGGUACCGUGUUAGGUGCAUGCUUAGAUAGUAUAAUCUCCUAAAUUAUUCGUCGGUUGGAUAUGUGAGAAAUUAACCUCGGGUGUACAAACUCCAUAUUUGGUAAUGAUACAGCUAUUUGGAAAUGAUAAUUGGAGAAGAGCAAAACAUAAUUAGAUUCAUAGUUAAUACUUCAUACUUUCCCACUACUUUGAUGGUCUAAUAGAUUAAAUCACAAUACCCUUCCUUCGUAGUUAUUGUUUUGGCUCUGUCCAACCUUUUGUUUUGGUUGAUCCUGUCAUUCAUCCAAUUUGUAGGAUAUGAGGGGCUAUAUUAGUUACACUGGAGUCAUUGUGUGCUCUUAUAAUCCGACAACAGGUUGUUUCAAUUUCCAAGAUACCAUUUCUCUUGCUCUUAUAAAACCACAACAUGUUGUUUUAAUUUCCAGAUUAUUUCUAACGUUCCAGUUUUCUUGCUACUACAAGUACUUGCUUUGCCUAAUCUCAACCCUAUUUUUAAUUAUUGUUUCCACCGUGUGCUAAGGUUUCUAUCGGUAGGCUUCUCUACAGUUUGGGAUGUAUCACGGCAUUCUCUCCACUAGCGGAAUAGCUGUAAUGCAUAUGCUUCUUCCUCCACAUCACUCCAGGCAGUGGCUACAGGCCACCAUCAUGUGAUUGAAAGGGGAUUCGUUAGGAACAAGGAGUGCGCCUGUGCCUGGUGAUUAAAGCCUGCAGCAAAGAUGUGGCUGGCUGGUUGUUGACUACUCCCUAGCGCAGAACAUUUCCAUGGGGUCUUUAGGCCGUGGAUGUAUCCUUCAGUAUGUCCUUCUUUCUUGUGCUAUGCUCCGUUCAUUUUCUGGCGACGCUGAGCUACAACAAGAGACUAACGUUAGUGGGAUAUGAUGUGCUUGGUCAGAAAUUCAUUAGGAUGUAUCCUUAUCCGGACUAUACAGUCGUCAGUUUCAGGCGUAAUGAGAGCAAGGUGGAGAAAGGAUCUCGGGAUGUUCCUAUUCACUUGAAGGUUCAGGGUUCUGUACUACAGGUGAAAGUGAGAUGACUAUGUGUUUCAGAUUUUUGAGAGAAAGGUCAAGAUAUUAGCCUAUAUAUCAGGCGAGUUAAGUUUAUGAUAGAUAUAGAUUAUCUUUUGAUAGAUUUAUGUGAUAGAUUCUGGUUGUUGCUACUUCAAAUGUAUUAGAUGCAUUGGUUUGGCCUUCUGGAGUUUUAAAUAAUUUCUCUCUUUUGCACAUGGUAAUUAAUUAGACCAACAUUUUGUAUAUAACUUUUUUCUUCAAAAAAGAGUGAACUUGGUCAUGUACUUGGCUUGGCCAGAACUACUAUGUGAUUCCGUUUUACAUUCCUUUUCGUCUACGUGUUUGGUGUUAUAAUACUAAUAUUAUAAAGUUACGAUUAAUCCACUGCAUCAAAUGUUUAGGCAGGCUCGUUUUUAUUUUUAAGGUGGAUAUGUGGUUCAUGUUAAUUUACAACUAAUAGUGAUGAAACUAUUUAUGAAGGUUUAAGAUUGGAUCAUUAUUUUCAAAAAAAAAAAGAUCGGAUCGUUGCUGCUCUAUUGAAGUAGGGGAAGACAUCAAAGGAAAAUAGCAAAAAAGAAAAUGUAUUUGGUCUCACUGAUUAUUUUG